Long non-coding RNA from Numida meleagris (helmeted guineafowl), 1270 nucleotides. NCBI's taxonomy places the organism in Eukaryota, Metazoa, Chordata, Aves, Galliformes, Numididae. The record is from Ensembl.
GAAAAUCGUGUUAGUCAAUCCUUCACCUAGACCCAGUUCCUAAAUAUUAUGGAAUGUAUGUAGCCACCUGUGCAUGUCUUAUGGUGGUGAAGGAAAAUCCCUUCUCAGGCCUGCCCAGGUUGCUCAUUUAGCUUGAGUUGAGCUCUCCUUCUCAGGCUUGCUUGGCAAUUGGUGCUGUUUUUAUAUAGGGAAAUAACCAACCUUCUUAAAAAGAAUGGGAACCUGGUGGAUUCCUUGUCUCAGCAGCCUCCCUGACGCGCUGGACUGUGAAUGUCACCCUUAAGCUGGGUGCACUUCCCCACGCUGCCUUUUUGGUUUCUUUAAUUGCGUCUGUGUUCUUGCACUGUCUGAUGGAAAAGAAACAGGUCUGCUCAGAUUAAACUGAAAGGGAUUGUGAGAAACAAGUCUCCUGAGAUAAUUUGGGGAUGAUAAUUAACAUCACUGGGAGCGUUCAAUUUCUGUAAGUCCUUUUUGGUCAGAAGGGAUCAAUUUUCCAGGAUCGAGAUAAAAACGGAGCCCCCCCUAAAUCAUUUCCUAUCAUUGUCCCAGAAGCCAAUAAACACAAGGAACCGUGACCAUUCUUUCCUCCUGGGGAUGGUAGAAUCGAAACCUGAAAGUUAAGUAAUAUACUUAGAUACUAUGGUGAUCAAGUUCUCCCGCAAUUGUAGGCACGAUCAAUGAAUAAUAAAUCAUCUCAUUUUUGAACAGCUUGAACUCUACCUUUCCAAAGCAGAGGGAGAGAAGUUUUAGAAAAGAUGGAUCUAAUUAUUUCUGCAGAAUCUUGGUGGUACCAUCCCAGCAGCGGGUCUGCAUUGCAAUGCAUCCCUUAGCAUCAGUGCUGUUGUGUGCCAGGCUGGAGACAACAGUUCAGCAGUAAAAAUGAAGUUGAACAAGAUCAUGAUGUUAAAUGACAGUGUUUUGGAAUCAGAUGGAAUACUUCGAUGGAGUUUGAGGUGGUUGUCCUGUAAAGCAUCUCAGGGAAGGAAGAAGACUUGUGGCUACCUGAGAGCAAAGGGACUGAACCAGCUUGAAGGAAGCCAAGACAAUCCAGAAGGGAAAGGCUACACCCUCCUUUGGCGAAUGAUUCUUUGGUGAAGUCUCACAGUACUAGAGAGAACUGGGAGGACACUGGGAGACAUUCAGACAAAGCAGCAACUCUUCUUGUUCUGCAGCUUUCUCCCCAAAGAGAGAGGGAAGAAAACAUACCUUCUUGUUCCCCAUCACCCUCUCCAGCAGAAUAAAAUGUGACUUCUUCCCUAAAUAAUUUACA